CCCUACCGUUACCCUACUGAAAUCUCAUACCAACUUGUACCUAAAGCUCAAAAUACUAAGGGGGACUCGGAGUUUAUCAUCAAAACUCUGAGUAAACCGAGCUAAGCCCUAGCAAUCAAAUCAAGCGCAGAAGUAAGAGGAAGGAGAGACCGAAAACUAAGCAAAAAAGGAGAAGAGCUCACACACAGAAUUGAAAAGACACUUACUUGAGGUAAAAUUCGUCGGAGUAUCGUCGGAGUCGCAAAACUCCGGCGUCAUCCUUCACCCCUUUAUUCAACCUUUCCAAGGCAUUACAGCUCCAUGUAGUCGCCGAUUGCAUGUGUGAUUUGAUGAUUCGUUACUUAUUCAUGAUUGUUUGAGUUAAGUCUGGACUAUUGUAGAUUUGUAAGAAGCUUUGCUAUUUUUGGUUUGAGUUGGUUAUGUUUUUUGUUUUGUUGUGGGUUUUGUUUCUUUUUGUUGAAAUAGGAAAUCGGUUUGCUCGGAUCUACUGAGAUUUUGAUGAUGAACACCAUGAGGUAUUCAUCUUUGGUUCUGGAAUUUUAGGUGGUUCGUUUUUUUUGUUUAAAUUGGGCUUUGGUUUUGUUUUGUUGGAAGAAGAUGAAUGGAUUUCAGUUUGCAGGAGAAAGUUUUGUUCGGUUGAGGUGUGUAGGUAGGGAGAGAGGGAGUGAACGAAUGAGGUGAGGUUAUCUUUUUUCACUGUGUUUGUUUUUAUGCUUUUAUUCUAAGUCGUACCAAGUGGUGAGAUGGGGAUACGUGUAGGAAACUAAUGAUGCAUGUUGUUUUCUUUUAUUGCAUCGCUUUUCUCGAAAUCAUUUAUGGUAGUGGUUGGAAUAUGGACCGUUAAUGGUGAAUUAUCCAUUUUUGUUUCGUUCCCCCACGCGUCUGGUUGGUUGGUGCAAAGGAUUUGUUUGACUCCCUUCUAUAUUUGGGCCAAAUCCGGGUUUGGGUCUUCCUGGAGGGCCAACCCGGUGCAUUUUCCCCUUUUGGGUUGUAUCCACGGUAGCAUUUGGGUUGGAUCUAGUUUAGAUCCUUUAACUUCUUUUCUUUUCUUUUCUUUAGUCAUUUUCUUGUUUUAUUUGUUUAUAGAAUUAAACUAAUUAAUUAAAUUUCUGAUAAUUAUGAAAUUCUAAUUAGGUUAGUUAAGGAAUUAAUUUUGUUUUUAUUCAAUCAACAUGAUAAAAAAAUGUUAAAUUUAAUUUAUUAGUUAAAAUAGAGUUAAUUAUUUUUACCCUAGAUAAUUGUUCUCAUUAGGGUUAUUCCUCUACAAUAUCAUGCCCAUUUUUCUUAUUCAUUUAAAUAAUAUGCUUCGGUCAUGAGAUAUGCUCGCUUGUAUUCGUCUAAAAAAUUCAAUGUUGACGUUUGUGAAAACUCUAACCUUAAGGUAAACCUAUCAAAAUGUUCAAAUACGAAAUCCUUGGCCCAACACCAAGUGAUCUUUCUCAAAUCCGAUUAAAACCUUGCCAAAUUCAAAUCCAAAUCAUUUUUUAUUAAUGUACUUCUUAUAAACUUUUAAUUCUAAAUUUUAGAUGAAAAGGGGUAUAGUAAGCGUCCGCUUCACUAUCUCUCGAGUCUUCCAAUAAUUGGCGUUCGCCAUAUUGCUCGAAUUCUCGUCGUCUAAUUAAAACCCUAAACUAAAAAUUCAAAUCACUUUCCCUAAAUUAAGUAAAAUUUCUAAAGACUUUUUUAUAAUUUAAAUUUUAGAUGAAAAGGGGUAUUGUAAGCGUCCGAUUCACUAUCUCUCGAGUCUUCGAAUAAUUGGCGUUCUCCAUAUUGCUCGAAUUCUCAUCGUCUAAUUAAGACAUUAAUCGUACAAAAUUCAAAUCAUUAUCUCUAAAUCAAUAUGAACUCCUAAAGACUCUCUUUUAUAAUUUAAACUUGGAAUGAAAAGGAGUAUAAGAAGCGUCCGCUUCACUAUCUCUCAAAUAUUCGAACGAUUGGCGCUCGCCAUAUUGCUCAAAAUUUCGUCGGCCAAUUGAAAUACACUAAAUGAACUUGGAUAAAGGAAUGGGGGGUGCACACCUCAUCAUUCCUUGAAUAAGCAAGUGGGAGGCGCACGCCUCAAUACCGUGCAUAUUCGAUUUCCGCAAACAAACUUUUAACAAUAAUUUAAAUGAAAAAAGGGAAUAAAAGGCAUUCGCCUUAUUAAUCCUCGAAAGAUUGAAUAAUUGGUGUGCACCAUAUUGCUCAAUUUUUUGUCGUUCUUCUGAAACAUACCAAACACUAAACUUAAUUCCUCGCCCUUGUGCGACCAAUAACUUAAUUCUUUUCAAAAAGAACAUUGUUUAAUCCUUUUUGACGCACACAAGAAACUAGUGCUUAAGCCACCGCCGAGAGUAGACAAGCCAACAUUUAGCCUUUAGAACGUGAUCUAAACAGACGUUCAUUAAAAGACACCAAUGAACCGUAGUUCCCCGAACUACGAAUGCUCUGAUUUCCUUAUUGCACCAUAAGGAUACGUAGGCACGAGAUUACAAGAUCUUGACGAGCACACUAAUAAAAAAACCUCUAUCUUCCCCCUUCUGAGGUUUCAAUCUAUCUCUUUUCAAUAUUUUUAUCACUCGAAGAAAACAAACAACAUUCAACUAACAUUCAAAUUGCAAAUUAAACUAAAAGUUUUCCGUUGAGUACAACGAACGUGAAGGGUGCUAAUACCUUCCCAUUGCGUAAUCGACUCCUGAACCCGAAUAUGGUUGCGACGACCAUUAUUCUAUUUUCUAAAGGUUUUAUCGAUAUUUUCCUAUUCCUUCAUUGGGAUAAAUAAAGUUUGGUGGCGACUCUAUUCGAACUAAUUUUUUCCGCGACCAUCGCGAGGAAUCGUAUUUUUCGAGAAGCGACAAAUGGCGACUCUGCUGGGGAAUUUUAGCUCCAAGCUAGAGAGAGUCAAUCCUAACUUAGUUUGAUUUCUGAUGAAUGUUAAAUUACUGUUUUUCUUCAUUAUUUGCUUUUGUAUAUCUUGAUGUAUUGUUUAUGCUAUGUGACUUAUUCUGCUAUUAUAUUGGGUGAUCUAUGGUGUUUGACACACGUUGUGAGAUAAGCUCUGUACCUGAGCUUUGAGAAGAACUUAGAACCCGGAGUUGUGUAGUAUCAAACCGAUGGGUAUACACCUUGUUGGGACAAUACAAAUACUCCACCUAGAGUAGAUAUGUUCGGAAUUUCCAUCACAGUAUGGCUAGCCCAUUAUUGCGAGGGAACUUUGAACAUGAUCCGUGACUCUAGGAACCCCGCCUUAAACUGAAGUCCGUCUUCAUGAUUAACGAUUGUGUAGAAUUGAACCGAAGGGUCUACACCCUGUUCAAACAAUACGAAGAUCCCACUUAGAGUAGAUUGAUUCAAAACUUCCAUCUUGAUGUGGCUAGUCCAUUAUUACGAUGGAAUACUGAACAUAAUCCAUGACUCUAAGUUUUUGUCUUGACAACGGACGACCUUAGGAGCUAUCCUUUGUGUGUGGGGUAAAGGACAUAGAACCACCAUUUAGGGUGUACCAUGUGAUAUAUAUGAAACAUGGAGCCCUGUCAUUGCAUAAAACUCAUAUUGCAUUCAUUAUGAGCAUAACAAGAUCAUUUACACAUUUUCUAUUUUCAGGGAAUUUCAAAAUUUUCAGUUGAUUAAGCAUUCAAGAAUAGAUGGAGCCAGAAAAGAGAAAAACAUUCCAAAUCAAAGCCAAAGUACCAUGUGUGAAAGAGUUCAUUGCAUUCAGAGACGGGUUGACUAAUAUCCGUCGAGACGUGUUCCUGCUCAAAUAUGGGAAGAUUCUACACUUGUUAUAUGUACCAGUACAAAAGGAUGUUAUUACCGCACUAGCCCGGUUUUAUGAUCUACCACUCAGAAGUUUCCUCUUUAGAGAUUCCCAGUUGGCUCCAACUUUGGAGGAAUUCAGAAAAAUAUUGGACUCUCCUAAAUAGAAGAAAGGACCUUCUAGGGGACUGGGUCAAAUCUAAAAACCCAAGGAGCUGGCAGAAGUAUUGGAUAUUCCAAUUGAAGAUCUAACCCCUAACAUCAAAAUUUGGGGAAAGGUACAAGGAAUUCCUCAAGAAUACUUGGAUAAGACUGCUCAAAUCUUCGGCAAAGCCCAGAAGUGGGAAGCCUAUGACACUAUUAUGGCAUUAAUCAUUUUUGGAUUGGUGUUAUUUCCUAAUGUGGAGAAGUUGGUGGAUGUAGCAUCUAUUAGUGUGUUUUGGGCCGUUAAGGUUAAGAACGAAGAUCCGGUGCCCGCACUUCUGGCAGAUGUUUAUCACACCUUACACUUACGCUUCGAAAAGAAUGGGGGAUUGAUGUUAUGUUGCAUACCGCUCCUUUACCAUUGGUUUGUCUCUCAUGUGUUCAAAGAUGCUGAUACGGUUGAGAGGAUGGAUUGAUAUGAGUGGUCUCAAAAGCUGGUAAGACUCACAGAAAAUGCCAUUAUUUGGUACCCUCAUGGUUUGAACGUGAGAGAUGCAAUUACUAGUUGUGGAGACUUUUCGAAUGUACCAUUAAUAGGGUCAAAGGGUUGCAUUAACUAUAAUAUUGUCCUAACAGUGAGGCAAUUGGGUUAUCCUAUCACAUACAAGCCAUAUGACUAGUUGUUAGAAGGUUUUGUGUUUCAUGAUAUGGAAGACCCCGUUAUGUUGAGAAGGGUUGUCCGAGCCUGGGAAAAGUUCGUUUCAAGGGACAAGACAAAGGAAAGGGCGUUAUAGGAGAUAGAGAACCCUAUUAUCAGUAGGUCACAAAGAGAAGUCAAAAGGUCAAGCUUCCAUUCAUCCUUGAUCCUCCUACUAAACCUCCACCACCAGAACCUAUCCCUGUCUCCACUAAGGAGGUGGAAGCAUUGAAAGCUACUAUAGCAAGACUCGGGAGAGAAAAUGAAGAGUUGCAGAUCAGCCUCCAGCAAGUUUCAAAUGAAAGAAAUAAUAUGAAGUGGGAACUAGAAUAGAAAAAGGCUCAGCUAGAGGAAACUGAGGAAAAGGUCGAUAAAGAAGAGCACAAGAGAAAGAAGGUGAAAGUGGGCACAGAACAAGUUGACCUCUACUUAGAAACUAUCAAAGAACAAUUGAAACAAGUUGAGAAAGAAUGCCAAAAGAAUAAGCGAUGGUGGUUACGAGAAACAGAAGAAAAGAAAGAAGUUAGAGAGGAAUUAGAGGCUAAGAUACAUGAUCUCACUAUCUCUCUUCAUAACGCUGAAACCCACGCGGAGCACGAGCGUCGACUCAAGGAAAGAGCCCUUGAAGCUUUUCGGGUCGCACCUGGGAUUUAGGUUGAGAAAUGUCAAGAAGCAAAGGAUGCCAGAGAAUACGCUCAACAUUGGAAAGACAGACUUGAAGCCUUCCAUCAAGAUAGUGUAAUAUGGUUAAAAGAGAGAGAGCAGGUUAUCGAGGACUACGAUACAUUCAGAAAAACUAUCAACUUCUUGCAAAAGGACAAAAAUGGGUACCGUGUAAAGCUCAAUGAUUUGGUGGAAUUCUAUAAUUGGAUGGCCUGGGAUAUGCCUUGGAGAUUGAGGGAGGCAGUGGAAGGACUGGACCAAGAUGGCACACAUCCCGAUGUGGUCGGUUUUGUUAUGAUGUGUGAGGGAAUGGUGAAGAAGUUCAAGUUUGAGUUGGAAGAACUUAUAACCCAAAAAUCUGUUGUGUGAUUUUUCCAUUUUUCUUGUACUCAGUUUAUGCUUUCGCAAGAGUUUAGUAUUUGAGUUGUAUUGGUUCGGGCGGUUAUGCCUUUGUAUUCCGUACUUUGACAAAUUGAAUGAAUGAGGAUGAUCCUCACUUUUUGUUUCUUCGAAUGCUUAAUAAAACUACAACCAUUAUGAAUAAUUCCCUAGAAAUAAAAAGGAAAAACAUCUUUCUCAUUUGCAUGCAUCUACCCCCAUCACACAUUUCAUUUCAUAAAACUUACACAACCUUUUUACCCUCUAUCCAGUAACGCUGACUAAUCAACACCGAUACGAGACGCGAAAUAACUACAGGAUGACGUUGGAGCAAGUUGAGGCUAAUCAGGCCACUAUGAGGACAGACAUCACCGUUAUCCAAGAGAAGAUGGAUCAAUUACUAGAGACGAUGCUAGCAAUUGCCCAAAGAGAAAGGGUUAUGGAAGCAGAAACUGGAAUGAGGAAAAAUGACAGUCAUAUUGGCACAUCAGGACUGGUCAAUCAGGAUCAGAGCUUCACUCACGCGAAGAAGAUCUUUGUUCACAUACCAGUAGGGAACAAAGGGGAUGGAGAUCAUGUGGAGCCUUCUAAUGCAUCCGCUCAACAUGGGUCUAAAAUGGGAGGAGAUGAUCCAUACGACGCUUUUUAUGUACCAGAUCCACCAAAGCCUAAGGUUCUUCCAGAUCCCACUGCAGAAAGGCUUCACGCCUUAGAGAAGAAGAUCAAGGCUAUAGAGGGGAAUAACAUAUUUGGUUCCGCUGCCAUGAAUGUGUGAUUGGUGUCAAAUUUGGUCAUCCCGACUAAAUUUAAAACUCCUGAUUUUGAGAAAUACAAAGGCUAGACUUGUCCGAGAAGUCAUUUGGUGAUGUAUUUGAGAAAAAUGGUUGCCCAUACUGAGAACGACAAGCUGCUCAUACACUGUUUUAGGAUAGUUUAAGUGGGACAUCCUUAAGGCGGUACAUGAGUCUGGUGCAAGGGCGAAUCCAAAGUUAGGAGGACUUGGCUGAUGCUUUCCUUCGUCAAUACAAAUACAAUCUGGAUAUGGCACCCAAUCGUAUGCAGCUACAAGGGAUGGUCAUGAACGAGAAGGAAUCAUUUAAAGAAUACGCCCAAUGAUAGAGAGAGUUGGUUGCUCAAGUUGAACCUCCAUUGUCAGAGAAGGAAAUGACCAGAAUAUUCGUGGAUACGCUCAAGGACCCUUUCUUUGAUAGAUUGGUGAACAAUGUAGCGUCAAAUUUUGCUCACUUAGUGACGAUUGGAGACCGCAUAGAAAAAGGUUUAAGGGAUGGAAAAAUCCAAGGAGCUGCUGUAACCCCCAAUGCACCGAAAAAGUAUUUUGGAGGUUUCCAAAAGAAAAAAGAAGGUGAUACUAACGCUAUAUCAAGGGGUUAUAAGGGUAAGCAACAAACCUCAUACGACCAUGUCACCGCUGUGGUACCUAUACCAUACCAGGAACCAACACAACAACAACACGUUUAUCAGUAACAACCUCCACAACAACGGCAACAAUAGAAUGCCGUUCCACAAUGACAGUUCAAGCCAAGGCCACCACGAAGGCAACUUGACCCUUGACCUGUGCCUUAUUGCCAUAUAUUUCCAUACCUGCAAAAGGAGGGACUGUUGACCUUGAGAGAGUUAAAGUCAGCCACUUUCCCAUACCCUCUCGGGUAUGAUGCUAACGCCCACUGUGAGUUUCAUGUGGGAGCACUUGGCCAUACUCUAGAAAAUUGCUAUGCUUUCCAGAACCAUGUGCAAGAUUUGAAUGAGGCUAAGGAUAUCACCUUCACCCCGAGACGCCCAAAUGUAAACACCAAUCCCAUGCCGACACAUGGAGGUGCGUCAGUCAGUGCCAUUGAAGAGAUUGAUAAGGGUGAGCUAAUCAAGAAAGUGGAAGAAAUACAAACUCCUAUAGUCGUGAUAGGUACACAAUUAUUGAAGAUUGGUCAGAUCCCAAUAGACCUAGUUGGUAAAGAAAAGGUUGAAGAUUUGAAGAGUUUUAUCCAGCAAAUGUUGGAUCAAGGUGAAUAGGCACGAAGGAAAAAGAAAUAGUCGUGAUUGAUAUUCCGUACGACGCAGUCAACAUGGAAAUCCCCAUCACUUUGUUGGUGAUAGAAUUUCUGGCACCUUUCAAAUACAAAGAUGAAAAAGCAGUACCAUGGAUAUAUCAGCCCAGAGCUUUUAAGCAGGGGCAGGAAGACCAACCUUUGGUCAUCAAUGAGCCAAAUGUUACAUUGAUUGUGGGACCAGCCGGGAUGACACGUAGUGGCCGCGUAUUUGCGCCAAGAACCGUUGAUACGUCCGCCAAAGCUAAAGGGAAGGAAGUUGAUACUCAUGUACAAAUCCAUAUUCCAAAUCUUGAAUUAAAAGAGAUGCACCUAUCCCCGAAAGCUGCUGUCACCCGCGAGGAGGCUGAGGAAUUUCUGAGGAUAAUUAAGAAGAGUGACUACAAGGUAGUGGAUCAACUGAAUCAAACACCUUCGAAGAUCUCCAUGUUGUCCUUAUAACUUAGCUCAGAGGCACACCAAGAUUCAUUAAUGAAAGUGCUAAGUGCUGCCCAUAUAAUGAAGGACAUAACAGUGGGACAAUUUGAUGAUGUGAUAGCUUGUGUGAUCACUGGAAAUUUCCUAGGGUUCAAUGACGAUGAGCUGCCUGUCAAAGGGAAGAAUCAUAACAAAGCUUUGCAUAUCUCCUUGAGAUGCAUAGACACCAUAUUAUCAAGAGUUUUGGUGGAUACAGGUUCUUCGUUGAAUGUUAUGCCAAAGACUACUCUAGUGAAAUUACCGUUGGAAGGACUAAUUAAGAUUGGGGAGGUUGACUUACCAAUUAAGAUUGGCCCGACUAUAUUCACUAUUACAUUCCAAGUUAUGGACAUACACCCCAGGUAUAGUUGUUUGCUUGGAAGACCAUGGAUUCACUCUGCAGGCGCAAUAACUUCUACCUUACACCAAAAGCUAAAAUUUAUCACGAAUGACAAGAUGAUUGUGAUUGGAGGGGAAGAGGAUAUCCUGGUUAGCCACUUGACUUCUUUCAGAUAUAUCGAAGUGGACGGCGAAAUAACUGAGACUCCAUUCCAGUCCUUGGAAGUGGUGAACACAAUGACCGUCUAACAGACAUCUGAGUCACCAAAAUUAGAGUCGUCGAUGGCCCCAUGGCAAGGAGCUAACACUGCUAUAGAGAAUGGGAAUGUCGAAGGUUGGGGCAAGAUGAUAGAAGUACGCAAUAAGUGGGACAAGUUUGGUUUAGGGUAUGAACCAUCAUCAGUUAAAGCCAAUAGUCAGCAUAACACGAAGUAGAUUCCUUCUGUUGAGAAGACAUUCACCAGCGUUGGCCAUAUCUUUGGUGAUCAAGUUGCAAAGAUCAACGAAGAAGUUGACGAUGAGGUGGUAUCGAACUGGAUACGGAAGGCAGGACCAGAUGAAGAACUAAAGAACUAGAAGAUUGUGGAAAUCCCCCAAUUCUUUCAAAAGUAAUUUUAUUAUUUUAAUCAAAACCCUGUGCUCUGCCCAAGGCACAGUGGCAUGUUAUAAGGCCUCCUUAUUUUAUAGAACAUUGAUUAUCAUUAAUAAAAUGACAAUUUGCAUUCAAAUUUUUGUUCUUUUACUUUCAUUUUUUUAUCUACAAUAAAAAUGGCAUGAAUUCUUAUUCAAGCACUUUCUAAAUAAACUGCAUAAAUCAUAACAUGCAGAGACACCACCGAGACCAUUGAUAACUACACUGAUAGGGUCUGGCGUAAUUUUGACUGUAUAAUUUACCAAGCCAAAGACGAAGUGGGGGAAGAUUGUGAACUCCCUAAAGAGUUGGCUAGGUUACUCAAACAAAAGGAGAAGGUCAUUCAACCACACCAAGAGGACGUCGAAGUUAUCAACCUCGGGACGGAGGAAGACAAGAAAGAAGUAAGGAUAGGCGCCACACUUCAAGAUGUAGUGAAGGAAAGACUGAUAGAGCUCCUCCACGAGUACGCCGAUGUGUUUGCUUGGUCGUACCAAGAUAUGCCCUUAGACAUUGACAUCGUUACCCAUAAGCUUCCGCUCAAAGAAGAAUACUCUACUGUCAAACAAAAGCUAAGAAGAACUCGUCCGGAUAUAGCUCUCAAGAUUAGAGAGGAAGUGAGAAAGCAGUUUGACGUCAGUUUCCUAGAAGUCUCUAAGUACCCACAAUGGGUUGCCAACAUCGUACCGGUACCAAAGAAAGAUGGGAAAGUCCGCAUGUGCGUUGACUACAGAGACUUAAACAG
RNAcentral lists this long non-coding RNA (9851 nucleotides) under Lathyrus oleraceus (garden pea). RNAcentral's name for it is "Pisum sativum (pea) long non-coding RNA (PSAT_LNC042062)". Lineage: Eukaryota; Viridiplantae; Streptophyta; Magnoliopsida; Fabales; Fabaceae. The record is from RNAcentral.